This 465-nucleotide ribosomal RNA is filed under the name uncultured bacterium. Its description in RNAcentral is "partial 16S ribosomal RNA". It matches the Rfam family "Bacterial small subunit ribosomal RNA", at positions 338 to 795 of the family's 1533-position model. The record is from RNAcentral.
CCUACGUGUGGCAGCAGUGGGGAAUAUUGCGCAAUGGGCGAAAGCCUGACGCAGCGACGCCGCGUGAGGGAUGAAGGUCUUCGGAUCGUAAACCUCUGUCAGCAGGGAAGAACGGUCACUGUGCUAAUCAGCAGUGAAUUGACGGUACCUGCAAAGGAAGCACCGGCUAACUCCGUGCCAGCAGCCGCGGUAAUACGGAGGGUGCGAGCGUUAAUCGGAAUUACUGGGCGUAAAGCGCUCGUAGGCGGUAUGUCAAGUAAAGGGUGAAAUCCCCGCGCUGAACGUGGGAACUGCCUUUGAAACUGGCAAACUGGAGUGUGUGAGAGGAUAGUGGAAUUCCAGGUGUAGGAGUGAAAUCCGUAGAUAUCUGGAGGAACAUCAGUGGCGAAGGCGACUAUCUGGCACAUAACUGACGCUGAGGAGCGAAAGCGUGGGUAGCAAACAGGAUUAGAUACCCCGGUAGUC